UCCCUGAUAGCUCAGUUGGUAAAGAAUCUGCCUGCAAUGCAGGAGACCCUGGUUCGAUUCCCGGGUUGGGAA
This 72-nucleotide transfer RNA is filed under the name Bos taurus (domestic cattle). It matches the Rfam family "tRNA". From Rfam's summary of the family: Transfer RNA (tRNA) molecules are approximately 80 nucleotides in length. Their secondary structure includes four short double-helical elements and three loops (D, anti-codon, and T loops). The record is from Rfam by way of RNAcentral. Lineage: Eukaryota; Metazoa; Chordata; Mammalia; Artiodactyla; Bovidae. RNAcentral also lists the same sequence under 2 other names.